GGGGGGGUCAUGAGACAUUGUGUGACGCCUUGGGCAGACUCCAUUUUGUCUUUUCCAAAUGCAACACGGUGACGCAUUGUGCGUAAACCUUACCCAGGGGCAACUUGGAGGUAUGACCGUAUCUGCCCCCCCCCCCCCUCGCUCUAUAUUGUGAUUUAGCUCGAGCCUCCCUGCUACAUUGCAGUUUAUUUAUUUAUUUGGGGGAAGGGGCCGGUGGGGUGCGUACAGUAUCGAAUUGUCUAUGCCAGAAAUCCCUGCAACUGUUUAUUUUUGAGUUCUGUGGAAUGUUCCAGUAGUUUUUUUUCUGGAGCUAGCAGAACAAGAAUUAAGUUAUUUUGAGUUUUGAAUAUAAAUGGUGUCUCCAUAGAAUGAAAGAUUUCUCUUGGGUAUUAAAAAAAAAAAAAAAGUUGGCAAUUUCAGGACCACGCCGCACGGUAGAGCGACAAUCGCGGCGUUGCUUUCAACACGCAAUCGAAAUAACUACGUUUAACGCCCCAGCGCUUUUUGUCUUUGAGGCUCCGAAGCGAUAUUGCCAGUAAUUACGGGGGCCGCCAAAUACAAUUGAAGUCAACGACGGAGCGCCGUGUAAUCCGCGGUCAAGUAUGUGAACAGAGUGAUUGCUUCUUUUGAUUUAGCCCAGUUUACCGAGAUGAUUACGAGCAGCCGGAGAUUCUCAAAAGCCGCGUUUUCUUCGCUUUGACACCCGCCAUCGGCCUUUCUCCUUGGAAUGCAGAGAUUAUUUGUCCUCUUCAAAAAAAUAAAAAAUAAUCAGAGAGUUGCUUUUGUCAUCGGAAAGAAUAAAGUUGCCUCUCACUCAAUGGCAUCCAAAGCUUUGCUUCUCAAGUGCCUGCCUUGUUCUUUGUCUGCGUUCGCUAACCGGGCUGUUGAUGACAGACUUGACGGUCGUGUAUUUCAAUUGCAUUCCACAGUUCAAGUGAGAGUUCACGCGCCGCCGUUUGGAUAUUUGCGUCAAGGGCGUUGCAAAGAGAAGAAAACUAAAGAAGCGGGGGAAAUUCUCGGAAUCUGAAAGGCCGUUCUCAAAAAUCCCGAUAUGAAAAAUGAACCUCGUUCCAAGGCAAUGUACAGUCAAUACAAUGUUGGGGGCCGAACGCGCUAGAUAAAUACCGUAUGAAUCAAAUAUGCCACUCCGGGAUGUGUACAAUUCUACUGAUACAACUAUGAGGGCAAUUCCAAGUGGCCAUAGUGAAUUCAAUCAACAGCUACCAUGGAUGAUGGAAACGUCUACACAGCUCUGUUCAAGUGCCAGGUUUUUGCGGUAUGAGAAAUUAGACCUUUUCAAAAAAAUUCCCGCCAUUUUUGUGACCGACAGACUGCAAAACGGAGUUGAAAACAAAAGAGAGGUCGGGGGACUAAAAAUAAACAACAGAUGAGCGUUUGGGGAUGUGACCGUGUUUAGGAUGCGACCAAUCAAAUGUAAAAUAGGAUUCGCCGCACACCUGCCACCAACUAAUGGACCCCAAAUAAAGUUCAGCUGCUUUUCCUGAUAGUUCCGUCGUCGCAUUUUAUAGCACUCGCAAUGUUACGCAAAGCGCUUUAGGAGGGAUCUCAUCCUCCCGGGUGAGUGUGCAAAAGAAUUUACAAGGCGUGAAAUGUAGCAAUAGCUAUAAUAUAGCAGCGAUAGCUCAACAACGUGGGUGUGCAUUCCAAAAUGGAUGAAAAGAUGUGAGAAGGUUCAGGGAGGCUGGCAAGAGGAUGCCAGCAACAUCGGAUGAGCUGCAGGGAUUUCUGGCAAGUACUGGCUGUUGAAGUAGCGGACAUGUCGCAGCAAUCUCCCAUUUUCUUCAUAUAGUCAGGCUAUAGGGUCACGUGGCUGCACUUGUGCAAAAAAAAAAAUUAAAACGCACUUGAAAUCUCCCAAAUCACAUGUGAAAGUGUAUUUUUGAUAAAACCAAGGUGAAAAGUUUUUAUCUGUAAUACCAUAGCGGCAAUGUUUGUUGACUCGGGUUUGGAUGUUCAAUUUAAUUCUGAACACUGCCACAUACCCAUUUAGAAGAUAAUGUGCGCAUUGUGUAACCUAAGUAUGUUUUCGUCUGGAGGGGUUUGUGCUAAAAUAUAAAUCGAGCUCAUUUCACAUAUAAUUAAAGUGGGAAUUGAUUCAUUAAAAUGUAAAAUCUUGUAUCAAAUUGCCCGUGAGUUAAUUAAAUUGUGCGACAUGAUGUGAAAUAUUCAUAUUUUAUGGAAGUGUUUCUUUCAUGCAACCAGCAUGAAAGCUGAAAGCACCACUUACAUCUUUUAAAAUGUUUUUUUUUUCAUGGCAAUUUCUCAAAAUGAUCAUCAGCAGCCAGCAUGGCCAAAAAACUUUGGCUGUUUAGUGUCGCCAUUUUGGUUGACAUUUAUGGAUUCCUCCUAAAAUUGCUGGCCCAGAACAAAAUGCUGGACUUCCUGUUCAAUUGAAUCCAUUCAUUUUUUUUUUUUUUUUACUUUUAGGGUUGAAGCUGCUUUUUUUCCCCAAACUUUCCAGGUAGCGUGACAAAGUACGUUUUGGUUCCGGAUAAUGUUCGACAGCUCAAUUUUUUUUGUCCGUUUUUUGAUCACCUCUGGAAAAUGGCAAUUCAUUUUGGCAAGAUGAUACGAUACCAAGCAGCGAUACCAAGUGGGCCUUUAUAUUGAUGGGUGCUCAGGCAUCAGAAUUGCAUUUCGCCGAACUGAGCAAGAAAAAUACUCGGAUGUACCACACGUUUACGAUCCAUAUUAUUUAUUGUCGACUAUUGUGAUCUCAUUUGACAAAUACUUUCCGCACCGGGAAUGUGGUUGAGGACUUUGACCCGCGGGCAAAAACAAAUUUCAUGAUCUGGAAUCUUUUCAUUGAAUUUGAUAAGACUCAAAGCGUGCAAGCCUUCACCUGAAAAGGUUUUUUUUGGGGGGGGGGAAAGGAGCAAAAUUCCGCUUUAGGCCUUCUUAAUUAGAAGUGGAUGGUUUCACUUUAUCAACAAGCAUGGCCGUGGUUUUCAAAGCGAUGGCACUUUGCGCAGCUCAUAAAGAGAGUCCCAUUCCCAGCGGAGCACUUUGAAGGUAUGCGCCGCGGAAAUAAUGACAUCCACUUAUUUAAUUUGCCCGUUUAAUUUCGUGCUCGUGCAGCAAUUAGUCUUCUUUUAUCCCGACUAUAUAUAUUGUUUGCGUGUGUCUCAAAGGCGAGCCGCCACGUGCACUCCUCGUCAAUGUCUUCUCGGGGGGGGAUCUAAUCUAGCUAGCUAGCUAGCUAGCUAUAAUAUAUAGAGGCAAAUAUUACCUACAGGUUUUUCCCGUUAAUAGCAGGGCUCAGUCCUCAUUCCCCUCAAAUAGUGGGCGUUACCGUUGUAACAUUCUUGUGACCAUUAAUUCAAUUUUUUUUGGGGGGGGGCGCACAGGAAGUCAUUAUUUUUCAAACGUUAUGAGCCGAUCGAAGCUCUUGGAACAGUAUUUAACUCUUGUCUUAUUAUUCUGACCUUACAGAAAUGUUACUGACAAUUUAAUUAUGCCCCUUCCACACCAACCAUAUGUGGGACGGACUCGUUUGAAUAUCGGCUCCGUCAACAAAAUGUAUUACUUUCAAUUGCAACAAAGUAGUCCGAUGAGUCUUUUAUGCAAGUCACCUGCCCAACACCGGUCAGGGUCCAAUAUGUAUGAGGCCACACCGUGAAAAAAAAAGCGUCGGAAACGAUUUCCACAUUUGCAACCAAGUAUGUCAGAAGGGCUUUGACAGAAAUACCAAAAGUGUGCGCGUGCAUAAUGAACACGGUGAAAGAAAGGUUACAAGCCGUCACUUGGACAGCGCCAAGUGCAAUUUGGAAAAGAAGUUGAUAAAUCGAACUGAAAGUGAUAGAUGCUUUAUUUCUUUGGCAAGAAUUCAAAGAUACAAGUGGAAGCGGUGGCCAUCUGGACUAACUUUUGAACCCCCUAAAGCGGUUUCACUGCUUUUUUUUUUUUUUUUUCCACCUUCCUUUGAGGAAAAAUGAGUUGCUGGACUUUAUAGUUAAUGCUUUCCCCGAGAAAAGCUCUCAAAGG
This is a long non-coding RNA of Hippocampus zosterae (dwarf seahorse), 4005 nucleotides long. RefSeq lists it as uncharacterized. NCBI's taxonomy places the organism in Eukaryota, Metazoa, Chordata, Actinopteri, Syngnathiformes, Syngnathidae. The record is from RefSeq and is a predicted model, not a curated record. The transcript is spliced from 2 exons.